Molecule: ribosomal RNA, 253 nt
Filed under: uncultured bacterium
Lineage: Bacteria
Description: partial 16S ribosomal RNA
Rfam family: Bacterial small subunit ribosomal RNA
Source: RNAcentral
UACAGAGGGUGCAAACGUUGUUCGGAAUUACUGGGCGUAAAGCGCGUGUAGGCUGCUUGGCAAGUCAGGUGUGAAAGCCCUGGGCUCAACCUAGGAAGUGCACUUGAAACUGCUGAGCUCGAAUGCUGGAGAGGGAAGCGGAAUUCUCGGUGUAGAGGUGAAAUUCGUAGAUAUCGAGAGGAACACCGGUGGCGAAGGCGGCUUCCUGGACAGUGAUUGACGCUGAGACGCGAAAGCGUGGGGAGCAAACAGG